AGGGUGGUGUUUUCCCCAUGGCAGCCAGAAGUAAAGGCUACCUGACCUCAGAUAGAAAGGUCUUCUCUGGUUCUGGAAAAGGCAAAGGCUUUGGAGCUCCUGGUUUCUGUAGGCCCAGGGAGUCUGGAAGGAGCUGGAGGUUUCCCGAAUGCUGUCUCUUCUCUAGCCCUUCAGAGCGGUGCUCCCCUGCAGUCGGGUCUUCCCAUGCAGUUCCACACCCCGUGCCUUCCCGGACGUGCUUCCCUCCGUCCUGUACGCCUCGCUCCAUCCGCUCUUCUCUGACUCAUCUGGCAAAAUUCAGCUCACGCCUCAGGAAGCUAAGGCCUCUGGGCAGCCUCGUCUGGAAGCCCAGGCAGGUUACUUGUGCCCAUAAGUCUGUACAAAUGUCAUUGCUUGACUCAUGCCCUGUGAUUCUCCGUUGACUUGUCCAUCUCCCCCACGCCGCUGUGAGCGCCUCGGGGGCAGGGACGAGGUCGCAGAGAUUCAUGAAUUCCCAGGGCCCAGCAGCAUGCUGGAUGCGAGGUGGACCCUCAGAACAUACGUGAAUGGGUAAAUAUGCAGUGGCCCUCGGCUUGGGACAGUAAAACUGCGUUAUUUUAGUAGGUUAUAUGUUUUUUUUUUUCUUUUGUAAUGGAGGAGAGGCAACCAGGUUCAUGAAUAAACAGAACCUUCAAGAAUUUGGUUCCAUUCCAAUAAUUGCUUUUUCUCCAAAA
Equus quagga is the source of this 713-nucleotide long non-coding RNA. RefSeq lists it as uncharacterized. The record is from RefSeq and is a predicted model, not a curated record. Lineage: Eukaryota; Metazoa; Chordata; Mammalia; Perissodactyla; Equidae. The transcript is spliced from 3 exons.